CCCAUGCAAGUCGGACGGCAGCGCGGGGGCAACCCUGGCGGCGAGUGGCGAACGGGUGAGUAAUACAUCGGAACGUGUCCUGGAGUGGGGGAUAGCCCGGCGAAAGCCGGAUUAAUACCGCAUACGCUCUAUGGAGGAAAGCGGGGGAUCUUUCGGGACCUCGCGCUCAAGGGGCGGCCGAUGGCAGAUUAGCUAGUUGGUGGGGUAAAGGCCUACCAAGGCGACGAUCUGUAGCUGGUCUGAGAGGACGACCAGCCACACUGGGACUGAGACACGGCCCAGACUCCUACGGGAGGCAGCAGUGGGGAAUUUUGGACAAUGGGGGCAACCCUGAUCCAGCAAUGCCGCGUGUGUGAAGAAGGCCUUCGGGUUGUAAAGCACUUUUGUCCGGAAAGAAAACUUCGGGGUUAAUACCUCUGGAGGAUGACGGUACCGGAAGAAUAAGCACCGGCUAACUACGUGCCAGCAGCCGCGGUAAUACGUAGGGUGCGAGCGUUAAUCGGAAUUACUGGGCGUAAAGCGUGCGCAGGCGGUUCGCUAAGACCGAUGUGAAAUCCCCGGGCUUAACCUGGGAACUGCAUUGGUGACUGGCGGGCUAGAGUAUGGCAGAGGGGGGUAGAAUUCCACGUGUAGCAGUGAAAUGCGUAGAGAUGUGGAGGAAUACCGAUGGCGAAGGCAGCCCCCUGGGCCAAUACUGACGCUCAUGCACGAAAGCGUGGGGAGCAAACAGGAUUAGAUACCCUGGUAGUCCACGCCCUAAACGAUGUCAACUAGUUGUCGGGUCUUCAUUUGACUUGGUAACGAAGCUAACGCGUGAAGUUGACCGCCUGGGGAGUACGGUCGCAAGAUUAAAACUCAAAGGAAUUGACGGGGACCCGCACAAGCGGUGGAUGAUGUGAAUUAAUUCGAUGAAACGCGAAAAACUUUACCUACCCUUGACAUGUACGGAACCUUGCUGAGAGGUGAGGGUGCCCGAAAGGACCCCUAACCCUGUGCUGCAUGCCUGUCGUCAGUUCGUGUCGUGAAAUGUGGAUAAAUCCCGCAACGACGCACCCUGUCCCUAGUGCUACGCAGAGCACUCUAAGGAAACUGCCGUGACAACCGAGGAAGGUGCGAUGAUGUCAUUCCUCAUGUCUUUAUGGUAGGCUUUCCCCCCGUCU
RNAcentral lists this ribosomal RNA (1160 nucleotides) under Burkholderia sp. RNAcentral's name for it is "bacterial SSU rRNA". It matches the Rfam family "Bacterial small subunit ribosomal RNA", at positions 52 to 1225 of the family's 1533-position model. The record is from RNAcentral. Lineage: Bacteria; Pseudomonadati; Pseudomonadota; Betaproteobacteria; Burkholderiales; Burkholderiaceae.